Molecule: ribosomal RNA, 433 nt
Filed under: uncultured bacterium
Lineage: Bacteria
Description: bacterial SSU rRNA
Rfam family: Bacterial small subunit ribosomal RNA
Source: RNAcentral
AACGAACGCUGGCGGCAUGCCUAACACAUGCAAGUCGAACGAGACCUUCGGGUCUAGUGGCGCACGGGUGCGUAACGCGCGGGAAUCUGCCCCUUGGUUCGGAAUAACAGUUAGAAAUGACUGCUAAUACCGGAUGAUGACGAAAGUCCAAAGAUUUAUCGCCGAGGGAUGAGCCCGCGUAGGAUUAGCUAGUUGGUGAGGUAAAGGCUCACCAAGGCGACGAUCCUUAGCUGGUCUGAGAGGAUGAUCAGCCACACUGGGACUGAGACACGGCCCAGACUCCUACGGGAGGCAGCAGUGGGGAAUAUUGGACAAUGGGCGAAAGCCUGAUCCAGCAAUGCCGCGUGAGUGAUGAAGGCCUUAGGGUCGUAAAGACUCUUUUACCAGGGAUGAUAAUGACAGUACCUGGAGAAUAAGCUCGGCUAACUCCGUG